ACAUCUUGGAGUUCGAUUAGCCAUGCGAGUCUAAAGGUUUCUUCGGAAGCCUUGGCGGACUGCUCAGUAACACGUGGAUAACCUGCCCUUAGGUCUGGCAUAACCCCGGGAAACUGGGGAUAAUACCGGAUAGAUCAGGGGUCGCUGGAAUGCGCCCUGAUCCAAAGCUCCGGCGCCUAAGGAUGGGUCUGCGACCUAUCAGGUUGUAGUGGGUGUAAUGUACCUACUAGCCGACGACGGGUACGGGUUGUGAGAGCAAGAGCCCGGAGAUGGAUUCUGAGACACGAAUCCAGGCCCUACGGGGUGCAGCAGGCGCGAAACCUUUACAAUGUGCGAAAGCAUGAUAAGGGAACUCCGAGUGCCAGCAUUAAAUGUUGGCUGUCCUUGUGCCUAAAACGCACAAGAUAGCAAGGGCCGGGUAAGACCGGUGCCAGCCGCCGCGGUAACACCGGCGGCCCGAGUGGUAAUCGCUAUUAUUGGGUCUAAAGGGUCCGUAGCCGGUUUGAUAAGUCCUCUGGGAAAUCUGAUUGCUCAACAAUCAGGCUGCCAAGGGAUACUGUCAAACUUGAGACCGGGAGAGGUAAGAGGUACUUCAGGGGUAGGAGUGAAAUCUUAUAAUCCUUGGGGGACCGUCUGUGGCGAAGGCGUCUUACCAGAACGGGUCUGACGGUGAGGGACGAAAGCUGGGGGCGCGAACCGGAUUAGAUACCCGGGUAGUCCCAGCCGUAAACGAUGCUCGCUAUGUGUCAGAUACGGUGCGACCGUAUCUGGUGCCGUAGGGAAGCCGUGAAGCGAGCCACCUGGGAAGUACGGCCGCAAGGCUGAAACUUAAAGGAAUGGCGGGGAGCACUACA
This 854-nucleotide ribosomal RNA is filed under the name uncultured Methanosarcinales archaeon. RNAcentral describes it as "bacterial SSU rRNA". It matches the Rfam family "Archaeal small subunit ribosomal RNA", at positions 29 to 883 of the family's 1478-position model. The record is from RNAcentral. Lineage: Archaea; Methanobacteriati; Methanobacteriota; Methanomicrobia; Methanosarcinales.